RNAcentral lists this long non-coding RNA (2552 nucleotides) under Androctonus crassicauda. The record is from RNAcentral. Lineage: Eukaryota; Metazoa; Arthropoda; Arachnida; Scorpiones; Buthidae.
AAAGCUAGUCCAAGACAUACUGUACGCGCGUAACCGCGCGAAGUUGCUUUCUAAUGCUUCGCUUCGCAUCGCGUUCAGUAUGUCACGGCCUUUAUCAUCUCAUUGGACAAGAUUAUUCCAACGUUAAAAUUGUUUCUAGGAGUUAUAUCAAUUUUUAAUGAUGAUAAAAUAAUCUCAUUCGAUCCUUGGAUUGCGGCUCAAAUAUUAUAAUCUUGCUGAAAUACAAGGGGAAGACAAAAGUUCUUAUCCUCACCGUGUAUGUACGCUAUAGAUCUGUAAUUGUGAACAGUAAUAGAUUACUAUCUUACAAAUCGAGUGCCUUUUUUGUUUUGACUGGAGUUAGAAAUAUGAUAGCGGAAGAAUAUGUCACAUUGGACAAAACUGAGUAUCGAGCUGUGUGAUACGGUUCCUUUAUCUUCGAGGGAAAACUAUACAAAGUUGUGUAUGACAAGAACAUCCAUCAUAUGAGACUGUAUCAGGUAAAAUGAUGGAAACUGAAUUUCAAACGUUGUCACAUCAGCUUACAAGAUAACCUAAAAAAAGACAUCAAGGUCACGUCUGUGUUUUCGGAGAGCCAAAGUGUCAUGUUGAUGACUAACGGAUAUACGACAAGGGGCAAUAUGGCACUUUGGCCGAUUAAGGGGCAGGAAUUCGCUACACAAGUUACGAGAUAGUAUUAAAGAAAACACGGUUGGCUGCGAAAAGGUGUGUCGCUACUAGCCGACAAUGCACCGCACACCACCCGCAAAUAUGACUACGAAACCUGGUCCCAUCCCCGUAUUCUUCCGAGCCGGCACCUUCAGAUCUCUUCCCAUUUUAAAAUAUCAGAAAACAUUUACGGGGAAGUUUUUCAGCGCAAGAAGUCAUUAGACAAGAUUUGGUAGAUUUGGAAGAAGACCAGCUUUCCAUCGCCAAGCCAGUUUGACUCCAAAUCUGCCGACUUCUAUAAAGAUUGGAUUAAACGGCUGUUCCAUACGUGCGAGAAGUAUUUGGCCGUAGGAAAUGAAUAGGUAGAGAAAGAAGAGUGGAAGGACCAAAUUUCAGAUCCUAACAUAUCCGUGUCACGAUAAGAACUUUGGUUUAAUAUUAGUCCAUACUAUUUUAAACGCAGUUAGUUGAGCGGAGAAUUCAAAUUCACAAUUUAAUUUUGAUAGGAUAUGGAAAAACCAAAGCUUUUUCGUUCGACAACUCUCUCAAGCUUUUUUUACUUUAUAGAUUUAAUUAUUCUACUACAUAAUAAAGAAUUUCUGCCCAGCAACGAUUCAGUUCCGAAAAUCAUAAAGUCAACACAGGAGCGAGGUGGUGAAUCGUAUGGUGCUUUACGGAUCUGUUUGGGUGGCACGGCCGACCGACGAAAACGGUCUUUGGUCGUCGUUUUCGUGCCACCCAGAAUCUUAAAAUUGACCAUCAGCGGUUUAAUAUAAGAGAUGAUCUUAGAGUUAAUCGAUGACAGAGUAGAAAUAAUUUAUAAGAAUAGAGAGAAUUGACCAUAAUAUAGCAUCUGGUAUCGACGGCUCGAACUCGGAAUACCCAUAACUUUCCGAAAGCGUAAGAUUUUGUCGUUUAGUUACGGGUGGGAGCCGAGUAAAUUCCUUAAUAUCGCUAAAGUAGGAAGACUAACCGAUAAUUCUGUCUCGGUGGUGGUGGGUUUUAAAGACUGACUUCAAUGGCGAGGAUUUUUCUAGAGGAAAACUGACUAUAAAUCUUAUUUUAUGGUCAGGCGCUCCGCCAUCGACUUAGCGAACUGGCCAUUUUAUCCAUAGAACGCGGUGAAGCCAAAUAAAAUUUAACAUAAAAAAUAAUAUAUACUAAAUAAAUUUUAAUAAAAAUAUAAAUUUAAUAAACAUUGACACGGUUUUAUUUUUAAUAUAACAUUCCUUAUACUUAAUUUUAUUAAAUAAUCUUAAGUACGAGAGGCCUGGACCACACGGCCGAUAGGGAGCUGGUGGCUGCCGACCGAUGGUAAUAUACAACCUCAGUCAGACGAAACGGCCCUUUAAGGCCCGUCGCAACUAUGGAGCCACUGACGGUUGUAUCUGGCUCCGGUCAAAUAUUUCCGCAUUAUUGGUAACCAACCUGUCGACACUAUGGGUAACGGUCGAGUGUCCCGCGAUAUAAGCGGUCUGAUGGACAAGGACGGCCACGAUAGUUAACUCUCGAAAUUAAAAAUUUAAUAUGGUUUUGUACAGCGCGGCAGCCUGUAGGUAUAACCCGGAGACCGAUUUCAGACUGGUGAGCGAGCCAAUGGUCGACACGCUAUAAAUAUUACGGUUUGUUUUUAUUUUAUUUCGCUGUAGCCUAAUAUCCUGUUUACGCUACGCCGUUUAAACCAAUUCGAGCCAUAGAACUUAUUUAAUCUGGUAAUGGCGAACGGAACGUGGAUGGCCAAACUUUUUCGAAAAUGUCACCCAUUAGUGCGUACCGGUUUGAGCCGAACCGGCAAGGUCGAACUGAAACUCGUCGGACGAAACCGGAAACGCCGCCAUUAUUUUUUCUCUGGCUUUGGAAGUUAAAUCGCUCGAUGAGAACUUAUAAUUUAGCAUUUUGACGCG